RNAcentral lists this ribosomal RNA (2933 nucleotides) under Paenibacillus larvae. Its description in RNAcentral is "23S ribosomal RNA". It matches the Rfam family "Bacterial large subunit ribosomal RNA". The record is from RNAcentral. Lineage: Bacteria; Bacillati; Bacillota; Bacilli; Caryophanales; Paenibacillaceae.
AGGAAAGCUUCGGUAAGAGCACACGGAGGAUGCCUAGGCGCUUAGGAGCCGAAGAAGGACGUGGCGAACAACGAUAUGCCCGUGAGUCACAGACUUUGAUCCGGGGAUGUCCGAAUGGGGGAACCCGGCCGCGGUUAUGCGCAGUCACUCACUUCUGAAUCCAUAGGAAGUGAAGAGGCAGACCAGGGGAACUGAAACAUCUGGCGCCCUGAGGAGAAGAAAAAACAAUCGUGAUUCCGUCAGUAGCGGCGAGCGAAAGCGGAGGAGCCCAAACCCAGAGAGCUUGCUCACUGUGGGUUGUGGGACACCUUAUACGGAGUUACAAAGGAGUUGAUUAGGCGAAGGAGGUCUGGAAAAAGGCCUGCCACAGAAGGUAACAGCCCUGUAGCUGAAAGUCUGUUUCCCUUUCCAAGGUGGAUCCUGAGUGUGUCAUGGGACACGGGAAACCUGUCGGAAUCCGGCAGGACCAUCUGCCAAGGCUAAAUACUCCCCAGCGACCAGAUAGUGUGAAGCAGUACCGUGAGGGAAAGGUGAAAAGCACUCCCGAGGGGAGGAAAGAGAACCUGAAACCGCACAUAAGAAGUCAGAGCCCUAUGAUUUUCUUCGGGAAAUCAGGGUGAUGGCGUGCCUUUUGUAGAAUGAAUCAAGAGUUAUUUGCAUGCAAGGUUAAGGUGAAGAGCCGGAGCUGCAGCGAAAGCGAGUCUGAACAGGGCAAAGAGAAAUAUAACAGCAAUACUUUGUAUUGUUUGGAAGUACAGGCGUAGACCCGAAACCGUGUGAUCUACCCCUGUCCAGGGUGAAGGUGAGGUAACACUCACUGAGGCCUCGAACCCACGAAUGUUGAAAAAUCGGGGAUGAGGUGGGGGUAGCGUAGAAAUUCCAAUCGAAUCCUGGAGAUAGCUGGUUCUCCUCGAAAUAGCUUUAGGGCUAGCCUCGGGUUAGAGUGAUGGAGGUAAAGCACUGAUUGGGGUGCGGGGCCUGCCAAGGGUUACCAAGUCUAGUCAAACUCUGAAUGCCAUCCACUAAGCUCCUGGGAGUCAGACAGUGAGUGCUAAGACUGCAUUGUCAAGAGGGAAACAGCCCAGAUCAUCAGCUAAGGUCCCCAAGUGUGUUAUGGGAAAGGAUGUGGAGUUGCACAGACAACCAGGAUGUUGGCUUAGAAGCAGCUAAUCAUUUAAAAGUGUAAUAGCUCACUGGUCGAGUGACUCUGCGCCGAAAAUGUAACGGGGGCUAACACACCACCGAAGCUAUGGGUCCUAAUUAAGGGCAGUAGGGGAUGCCCGGCCAUGGAAGGUUGACCGUGAGGACAGCUGGAGCGCUUGGAAGUGAGAAUGCCGGUAUGAGUAACGAAAAAGAUCAGUGAGAAUCUGAUCCGCCGAAAGCCUAAGGGUUCCUGAGGAAGGUUCGUCCGCUCAGGGUAAGUCGGGACCUAAGGCGAGGCCGGAAAGGCGUAGUCGAAGGACAACAGGCAGAAAUUCCUGUACCACCAAACACCGCCAGAGCGACGGGGUGACACAGUAGGGUAGGACGCAACACAGCGUUUGUCCAAGCAGUGAGGCUGGUGUGCAGGCAAAUCCGCACACGAUGAAAGCCGGGCUGUGACGGGGAGUGAAAAUAGCAGUAGCGAAGGUCUUGGAUCUCACACUGCUCUAAGAAAAGCCUCUAGCCAGGCAGGCGCCCGUACCGCAAACCUACAAAAGGAAGGAACAGGGCUCCCAAGGCGCGCGGAAGAACUCUCGUUAAGGAACUCGGCAAAUGACCCCGUAACUUAGGAGAAGGGGUGCCCCGGUAGAGUGAAUAGCUCGAGGGGGCCGCAGAAUAGGCCCAAGCGACUGUUUAGCAAAAACACAGGUCUAUGCGAAGCCGCAUAAGAAGCGGGCGAAGGGCUGACGCCUGCCCGGAAAAGGCUAAAAGGUUAAGGGGAGUGGUUAGGGCUUAAGGCCCGGCUAUGAACCGAAGCCCCAGUAAACGGCGGCCGUAACUAUAACGGUCCUAAGGUAGCGAAAUUCCUGUUUGUACCCCACCAAAAAAUAAAUUACGGUAAUGACGGGGCGCUGUCUCAACGAGAUCCGGUGAAAUUUUAAUACCUGUGAAGAUGCAUUACCGCGACAAGACGGAAAGAAUCCCAUGGAGCUUUACUUCAGCUUGAUAUUGACUCGGCACGAUCUGUACAGGAUAGGUGGGACGGGACAGCCGGAGCGCCAGCUUCGGUGGAGGCGCAGCGUUGGGAUACCACUCUGAUCGUAUCGGAGUUCUAACCCGGGACCGUGAACCGGUUCGUGAUGAAAAUGCGGCAGUUUGACUGGGGCGGUCGCCUCCUAAAGAGUAACGGAGGCGCCCCAAGGUUCCCUCAGAAUGGUUGAAAUCAUUCGAAGAGUGCAAAGGCAAGAAGGGAGCUUGACUGCGAGACCUACAAGUCGAGCAGGGACGAAAGUCGGGCCAGUGAUCCGGUGGUACCGCAGCGGAAGGGUCAUCGCCAACGGAUAAAAGCUACCCUGGGGAUACCAGGCUUAUUUCCAAGAGUCCACAUCGACGGGGAGGUUUGGCACCUCGAUGUCGGCUCAUCGCAUCCGGGGCUUAAGUAGGUCCCAAGGGUUGGGGUUGCCCGCUCCAUUAGUUGUACGCGAGCUGGGUUCAGAACGUCGUGAGACAGUUCGGUCCCUAUCUGUCGUGGGCGCAGGAAAUUUGAGAGGAGCUGUCCUUAGUACGAGAGGACCGGGAUGGACGUACCGCUGGUGUACCAGUUGCUCCCGCCAGGAGCACAGCUGGGUAGCUAUGUACGGAAGGAUAAGCGCUUCGAAAGCAUCUAAGCGUGAAGCCCGCCUCAAGAUGAGAUUUCCCAAGUAGUAAGACCCCGGCGACGACGAUAGGUUGGGGGUGGCGCAGCAAUGCGUGGAGCUGACCAAUACUAAUCGGUCGAGGGCUUAUCCUAA